ACGGGUGAGUAACACGUGAGCAAUCUGCCCUUAAGAGGGGGAUAGCAGUUGGAAACGACUGAUAAUACCGCAUAAGAUAGUAGUACCGCAUGGUACAGCUAUAAAAGAUUUAUCGCUUAAGGAUGAGCUCGCGUCUGAUUAGCUAGUUGGUGAGGUAACGGCUCACCAAGGCAACGAUCAGUAGCCGGACUGAGAGGUUGGACGGCCACAUUGGGACUGAGACACGGCCCAGACUCCUACGGGAGGCAGCAGUGGGGAAUAUUGCACAAUGGAGGAAACUCUGAAUGCAGCGAUGCCGCGUGAGGGAAGAAGGUUUUAGGAUUGUAAACCUCUGUUGACAGGGACGAUAAUGACGGUACCUGUUGAGGAAGCUCCGGCUAACUACGUGCCAGCCGCCGC
RNAcentral lists this ribosomal RNA (399 nucleotides) under uncultured bacterium. RNAcentral describes it as "bacterial SSU rRNA". It matches the Rfam family "Bacterial small subunit ribosomal RNA", at positions 102 to 518 of the family's 1533-position model. The record is from RNAcentral.